AUUGAACGCUGGCGGCAUGCCUAACACAUGCAAGUCGAGCGGAGCAGCGAAAGGGUGAGUACUACCUAGGAAUCUGCCUGGGAGUGGGGGAUAACGUUCGGAAACGGACGCUAAUACCGCAUACUAUCAGAUGAGCCUAUGUCGGAUUAGCUAGUUGGUGAGGUAAUGGAUCACCAAGGCUAAGAUCCGGAACUGGUCGGAGAGGAGGAUCAGUCACACUGGAACGGAGACACGGUCCAGACUCCUACGGGAGGCAGCAGUGGGGAAUAUUGGACAAUGGGCGAAAGCCUGAUCCAGCCAUGCCGCGUGUGUGAAGAAGGUCUUCGGAUUGUAAAGCACUUUCAGUUGGGAGGCGUUACCGACAGAAUAAGCACCGGCUAACUCUGUGCCAGCAGCCGCGGUAAUUC
Molecule: ribosomal RNA, 407 nt
Filed under: uncultured bacterium
Lineage: Bacteria
Description: partial 16S ribosomal RNA
Rfam family: Bacterial small subunit ribosomal RNA
Source: RNAcentral